CGCGGAGUAGCUCAGUUGGUAGAGCGCGGCCCUCAUAAGGCCGUUGUCGCUGGUUCAAGUCCAGCUUCCGCGACCA
This 76-nucleotide transfer RNA is filed under the name Methylobacterium sp. WL103. RNAcentral's name for it is "tRNA-Met". It matches the Rfam family "tRNA". From Rfam's summary of the family: Transfer RNA (tRNA) molecules are approximately 80 nucleotides in length. Their secondary structure includes four short double-helical elements and three loops (D, anti-codon, and T loops). Lineage: Bacteria; Pseudomonadati; Pseudomonadota; Alphaproteobacteria; Hyphomicrobiales; Methylobacteriaceae. The record is from RNAcentral.